Molecule: long non-coding RNA, 437 nt
Filed under: Homo sapiens (human)
Lineage: Eukaryota; Metazoa; Chordata; Mammalia; Primates; Hominidae
Description: non-protein coding lnc-FBXO31-1:4
Source: RNAcentral
UAUUUUAAGCUAGUUAAUAUAAGCAUAGUGUAAUAUAAACGUUAAUGUUCCCUGUAAUAAUCCAUGUAAAGUAGAAAAGCAAGAACACAUCUUUCAUUUUAAUUUACUCAGUGUUUUCUCUAGGAAUUUCAUGGUGCCUUUAAACUACCAAAUAAUCAUUCAUUCUUCAAAGUCCAGCAGUGGCACCCUAUUCCUUUUUUCAAACCAGGAAAUGACCAUAACCGUGGGGAAAUGAUGUAACUGCUAAGAAUUGAAUGUGAUGGCCCAGCUUGAGUGAUCUUCUGCUCAGACCACACCCUGGACUGAACCAGCCUCCUGUUUCCCUCAGGCCUCCUGAGGUCCCUGAUCUCCGGCAAGUGAUGCUCCUUCUCACCAUCGUCUGUGCCAUUGCCUUGAAAACUCCCUUCCUGGCCUCGCCUACUACAUGAGCCAGGGAC